RNAcentral lists this ribosomal RNA (374 nucleotides) under Aricidea simplex. RNAcentral's name for it is "partial 16S ribosomal RNA". It matches the Rfam family "Archaeal large subunit ribosomal RNA", at positions 2024 to 2598 of the family's 2987-position model. Lineage: Eukaryota; Metazoa; Annelida; Polychaeta; Paraonidae. The record is from RNAcentral.
CGUGCUAAGGUAGCAUAAUAAUUUGCCUCUUAAUUAGUGGCUAGUAUGAAUGGACACACAAAAAUUUCCCUGUCUCUAUAAGUCCCAUAAAAAUUAGUCCUCAAGUGCAAAAACUUGAAUAAGCCUAAAGGACAAGAAGACCCUGUAGAGCCUAAAAUUCCCAUAAUUAACAGCCCUAAAAUUUAUUUAAAUUAAUCAUAAUUAUAAAAUUUUUAGUUGGGGCAACUAGAAUAUACCCAAAUCUAUUCUUCCCAUUUAGGCCUAAAAGCCUCCUAAUUGAUCCAUUCCUAAUGAUCAUACGCACAGGUUACCUCAGGGAUAACAGACUAAUCCUUCUCAAAAGCCCUUAUUAACAGAAGGGAUUGGCACCUCGA